Molecule: ribosomal RNA, 253 nt
Filed under: uncultured bacterium
Lineage: Bacteria
Description: partial 16S ribosomal RNA
Rfam family: Bacterial small subunit ribosomal RNA
Source: RNAcentral
CACGGGGGGAGCAAGCGUUGUUCGGAAUCACUGGGCGUAAAGGGCGUGCAGGCGGUCAGGUAAGUGGGAUGUGAAAUGCCCCGGCUCACCCGGGGACCGGCAUCUCAUACUGCUUGGCUUGAGUACGGGAGAGGAUGUGGGAAUUCCUAGUGUAGAGGUGAAAUUCGUAGAUAUUAGGAAGAACACCAGUGGCGAAGGCGGCUCACUGGUCCGGUACUGACGCUGAGGUGCGAAAGCGUGGGGAGCAAACAGG